CGUGUAGGCGGUGCGGUAAGUUGGGCGUGAAAUCCCCGAGCUUAACUCGGGUGGGCCGUUUAAGACUGCCGUGCUAGGGUGCGGGAGAGGGAAGUGGAAUUUCCGGUGUAGCGGUGAAAUGCGUAGAUAUCGGGAGGAACACCUGCGGCGAAGGCGGCUUCCUGGACCGCAACCGACGCUGAGGCGCGAAAGCUAGGGGAGCAAACAGGAUUAGAUACCCUGGUAGUCCUAGCCCUAAACGAUGAGCACUGGGUGUGGCCCCUCACGAGGCCGUGCCGAAGCUAACGCAUUAAGUGCUCCGCCUGGGGAGUACGGUCGCAGGGCUGAA
This 328-nucleotide ribosomal RNA is filed under the name uncultured bacterium. Its description in RNAcentral is "bacterial SSU rRNA". It matches the Rfam family "Bacterial small subunit ribosomal RNA", at positions 568 to 898 of the family's 1533-position model. The record is from RNAcentral.